Molecule: ribosomal RNA, 230 nt
Filed under: uncultured Meliniomyces
Lineage: Eukaryota; Fungi; Ascomycota; Leotiomycetes; Helotiales; Helotiaceae
Description: partial 28S ribosomal RNA
Rfam family: Eukaryotic large subunit ribosomal RNA
Source: RNAcentral
UUGACCUCGGAUCAGGUAGGGAUACCCGCUGAACUUAAGCAUAUCAAUAAGCGGAGGAAAAGAAACCAACAGGGAUUGCCUCAGUAACGGCGAGUGAAGCGGCAAAAGCUCAAAUUUGAAAUCUGACCCUUCGGGUCCGAGUUGUAAUUUGCAGAAGAUGUUUCGGGUAAGAAUAAGGUCUAAGUUCCUUGGAACAGGACGUCAUAGAGGGUGAGAAUCCCGUACGUGAC